This 252-nucleotide ribosomal RNA is filed under the name uncultured bacterium. RNAcentral describes it as "partial 16S ribosomal RNA". It matches the Rfam family "Bacterial small subunit ribosomal RNA", at positions 524 to 776 of the family's 1533-position model. The record is from RNAcentral.
UACGUAGGGGCAAGCGUUGUCCGGAUUUAUUGGGCGUAAAGAGCGUGUAGGCGGUUAGGUAGGUCCGUUGUGAAAACUCGAGGCUCAACCUCGAGACGCCGAUGGAAACCAUCUGACUAGAGUCCGGAAGAGGAGAGUGGAAUUCCUGGUGUAGCGGUGAAAUGCGCAGAUAUCAGGAAGAACACCCGUGGCUAAGGCGGCUCUCUAGUACGGUACUGACGCUGAGACGCGAAAGCGUGGGGAGCGAACAGG